CUAAUUUCAUGAAGUCAAAGUUCUUAUUAGAAAUAAUAUUACUUGAUCUUUUAAAAAUAAUAAAAGAAUGUACACUGUUAACGUUGUAGUCCUGUUACUGAAAUUUGAAUACAGGUGUGAGGUUGCAGUAACCUAAUAAGACCAAAAUCAUUUGAUUUUUGUUUCUUUUUUUUCCAUGUCUGUCCUGUCUGAACUUCGGUGACUCUUCACAAAAUAGUACGCCCUGGGUUCAUGCAUGAUAAAGUAGACAGCAACACCACCAUACAGUGCAGAGGAGUGGCAAGAGAGUAAACGGAAAAGGAGAUGAAAAUAGACCAAGUGGAGAAAGGCCUGGUCAAAAAAGGAGGAAAAGGAAGAUCACUAUGGAAUAAUAGAGAGUUGAAAAAUGAAGUGACACCCAAUAACAGGACGGGACAAUCAGAGAUGACUUGGUUGUAGUGUGGAAACCAGUAGGGACCUUGGGAAGCUGCCAAACCCUUUCUAGCUCUGGGCUCAGCUGUAAGAACUGCUGAUUCCUACAGGAACACUUGGACAAUCCAAUACCUAAAUGUUAACCAUCAAUUAACCCAGUAAACCUGCAAGAUGGAAACGAAGAUUUGUUCUCACGAGUUUCACGUGAUUAUUUAAAGUAAGGGAAAUUUCAGCUGUUUAUAGUUCUGUCUUAACUUUUUCCUCUCUUCAUUCUUUUCCUCUCAUUUUUUGUAGCACUUCUGGGGCCCAGUAGCCAACUGGGGUCUUCCCAUUGCUGCCAUCAAUGAUAUGAAAAAGUCUCCAGAGAUUAUCAGUGGGCGGAUGACAUUUGGUAAGAAUGCAGAUUUGGAUAAUUGGGAGGACUUUCAACAUAGUAGAGCUCCUGCUUGCAUUUCAAGAUUGUAGCACUAGAUGUUACAGUCACUAUUAGAAAGUCACAUACAGAAUGUGAUGGCAUGGAAGAGUGUUACUUCUCUAUGUCAGUAAGAAACAAGAUUAAUUAGAAAUAUUUAUCUAGGAAGUAGUAACAUCUUAUUUGCCUUUCAGAUUUAGCACACUGAACUGAAGACUGUGUCAUCUGAAUCAUUCUAAUAGUCACUUUAAUGAUUUAUAUUGUGAACUUUUUUGGGGGAAACUGUCAUUAAACUGACUUGAAACCCUGAUAUUUGAACAUAAAACUAUUGUGGAGGGAAUAAAUAACAAUUCUUUCAGAUAAUGAAUGGAUUAUAAGCAACUCCAGGAGACAAAAAAAGUGUCUAGAACAAAUUUCAGCCUACUCUUGCUCGGAAAUAUGUUCCUUAAAUGUUUAAAUAAUUAACAAAAAUGCAUAGCAGUACAGUAAAUUUUUUUAUGAGCUUCCUAUUGAUACAGGCAUUUAAGUAACAACUUUUAUCUGUCAAAGGCUUUCGCAGAAGAGGUUCUUUUUUGAUCAGGGCAAUGGAACUGUUCAUCUCUGUGGUCCUAUCAACCCUCUCAGUUUUCUAAGUUAUUGAUUGUCUUUGCUCUGCUAUUUUUGGCAGCCCUCUGUUGCUAUUCUUUGACAUUCAUGAGAUUUGCCUACAAGGUACAGCCUCGGAACUGGCUUCUGUUUGCAUGCCACGCAACAAAUGAAGUAGCCCAGCUCAUCCAGGGAGGGCGGCUUAUCAAACACGAGAUGACUAAAACGGCAUCUGCAUAACAAUGGAAAAGGAAGAACAAGGUCUUGAAGGGACAGCAUUGCCAGCUGCUGCUGAGUCACAGAUUUCAUUAUAAAUAGCCUCCCUAAGGAAAAUACACUGAAUGCUAUUUUUACUAACCAUUCUAUUUUUAUAGAAAUAGCUGAGAGUUUCUAAACCAACUCUCUGCUGCCUUACAAGUAUUAAAUAUUUUACUUCUUUCCAUAAAGAGUAGCUCAAAAUAUGCAAUUAAUUUAAUAAUUUCUGAUGAUGGUUUUAUCUGCAGUAAUAUGUAUAUCAUCUAUUAGAAUUUACUUAAUGAAAAACUGAAGAGAACAAAAUUUGUAACCACUAGCACUUAAGUACUCCUGAUUCUUAACAUUGUCUUUAAUGACCACAAGACAACCAACAGCUGGCCACGUACUUAAAAUUUUGUCCCCACUGUUUAAAAAUGUUACCUGUGUAUUUCCAUGCAGUGUAUAUAUUGAGAUGCUGUAACUUAAUGGCAAU
This 2135-nucleotide long non-coding RNA is filed under the name Homo sapiens (human). Its description in RNAcentral is "HSALNT0116632". The record is from RNAcentral. Lineage: Eukaryota; Metazoa; Chordata; Mammalia; Primates; Hominidae.